CAGGCCUAACACAUGCAAGUCGAACGGUAGCAGGAUGUGCUUGCACAUCGCUGACGAGUGGCGGACGGGUGAGUAAUGCUUGGGAACUUGCCUUUGCGAGGGGGAUAACAGUUGGAAACGACUGCUAAUACCGCAUAAUGUGCACUUGUGUACCAAACGGGGCUUAGGCUCCGGCGCAAAGAGAGGCCCAAGUGAGAUUAGCUAGUUGGUGGGGUAAAGGCUCACCAAGGCGACGAUCUCUAGCUGUUCUGAGAGGAAGAUCAGCCACACUGGAACUGAGACACGGUCCAGACUCCUACGGGAGGCAGCAGUGGGGAAUAUUGCACAAUGGGGGAAACCCUGAUGCAGCCAUGCCGCGUGUGUGAAGAAGGCCUUCGGGUUGUAAAGCACUUUCAGUUGUGAGGAAAAGUGAGUAGUUAAUACCUGCUCACCGUGACGUUAACAACAGAAGAAGCACCGGCUAACUCCGUGCCAGCAGCCGCGGUAAUACGGAGGGUGCGAGCGUUAAUCGGAAUUACUGGGCGUAAAGCGCACGCAGGCGGUUUGUUAAGCUAGAUGUGAAAGCCCCGAGCUCAACUUGGGAUGGUCAUUUAGAACUGGCAGACUAGAGUCUUGGAGAGGGGAGUGGAAUUCCAGGUGUAGCGGUGAAUGCGUAGAUAUCUGGAGGAACAUCAGUGGCGAAGGCGACUCCCUGGCCAAAGACUGACGCUCAUGUGCGAAAGUGUGGGUAGCGAACAGGAUUAGAUACCCUGGUAGUCCACACCGUAAACGCUGUCUACUAGCUGUGUGUGCCUUUAAGGCGUGCGUAGCGAAGCUAACGCGAUAA
This 826-nucleotide ribosomal RNA is filed under the name uncultured bacterium. RNAcentral describes it as "bacterial SSU rRNA". It matches the Rfam family "Bacterial small subunit ribosomal RNA", at positions 43 to 863 of the family's 1533-position model. The record is from RNAcentral.